Molecule: ribosomal RNA, 253 nt
Filed under: uncultured bacterium
Lineage: Bacteria
Description: partial 16S ribosomal RNA
Rfam family: Bacterial small subunit ribosomal RNA
Source: RNAcentral
UACGUAGGGACCAAGCGUUGUUCGGAUUUACUGGGCGUAAAGGGCGCGUAGGCGGCGCGGUAAGUCACUUGUGAAAUCUCUGAGCUUAACUCAGAACGGCCAAGUGAUACUGCAGUGCUAGAGUGUGGAAGGGGCAAUCGGAAUUCUUGGAGUAGCGGUGAAAUGCGUAGAUAUCAAGAGGAACACCUGAGGUGAAGACGGGUUGCUGGGCCAACACUGACGCUGAUGCGCGAAAGCCAGGGGAGCAAACGGG